This 450-nucleotide ribosomal RNA is filed under the name uncultured bacterium. RNAcentral's name for it is "partial 16S ribosomal RNA". It matches the Rfam family "Bacterial small subunit ribosomal RNA", at positions 354 to 796 of the family's 1533-position model. The record is from RNAcentral.
GUGGGGAAUAUUCCGCAAUGGACGAAAGUCUGACGGAGCAACGCCGCGUGAGUGAUGAAGGUUUUCGGACUGUAAAGCUCUGUUGUUUGGGACGAAAGUGCCUGUUGCGAACAGUUACGGGUAUUGACGGUACUAAACGAGGAAGCCACGGCUAACUACGUGCCAGCAGCCGCGGUAAUACGUAGGUGGCAAGCGUUGUCCGGAAUUAUUGGGCGUAAAGAGCAUGUAGGCGGGAAUCUAAGUCUGUUGUGAAAAUGCGGGGCUCAACCCCGUAUUGCGAUGGAAACUGGGUUUCUUGAGUGCAGGAGAGGAAAGGGGAAUUCCCAGUGUAGCGGUGAAAUGCGUAGAUAUUGGGAGGAACACCAGUGGCGAAGGCGCCUUUCUGGACUGUGUCUGACGCUGAGAUGUGAAAGCCAGGGUAGCGAACGGGAUUAGAAACCCUCGUAGUCC